AAAAGUUGAAGUUCUUCGGCUAACUGUGAUAACUCUGUAAGUAUUACUUCGAACAAACGAAAUUACUGAAUCCAAAUGAAAGCCCUUCUACGAGUUCUAAGCCUGGUCGUCAUUCGCGUCGUCGUGAUUAUUAUCACGCCGUGCGGGGCUACGCUCGGAGGAAGAAAGGCUUAAAAAUCAAGCCUGAUUUCGAAAAAACCCCCGCACCGAAAGGUCCGGGGGUUUUUUUUCGGUAAUGUGUUAAUGGCAGAGGAACAAAAUAUGACUGGUAAAAUAAAAUGCUGUAUUUCCCAGAUCAA
Erwinia tracheiphila is the source of this 299-nucleotide non-coding RNA. Lineage: Bacteria; Pseudomonadati; Pseudomonadota; Gammaproteobacteria; Enterobacterales; Erwiniaceae. The record is from Rfam.